CUACGGGAGGCAGCAGUGGGGAAUAUUGGACAAUGGGCGCAAGCCUGAUCCAGCCAUGCCGCGUGAGUGAUGAAGGCCCUAGGGUUGUAAAGCUCUUUCGGCGGGGACGAUAAUGACGGUACCCGAAGAAUAAGCUCCGGCUAACUUCGUGCCAGCAGCCGCGGUAAUACGAAGGGAGCUAGCGUUGUUCGGAAUCACUGGGCGUAAAGCGCACGUAGGCGGAUUUGUUAGUCAGGGGUGAAAUCCCGGGGCUCAACCUCGGAACUGCCUUUGAUACUGCAGAUCUAGAGUCCGAUAGAGGUGGGUGGAAUUCCUAGUGUAGAGGUGAAAUUCGUAGAUAUUAGGAAGAACACCGGUGGCGAAGGCGGCCCACUGGAUCGGUACUGACGCUGAGGUGCGAAAGCGUGGGGAGCAAACAGGAUUAGAUACCCUAGUAGUCC
RNAcentral lists this ribosomal RNA (440 nucleotides) under uncultured bacterium. RNAcentral's name for it is "bacterial SSU rRNA". It matches the Rfam family "Bacterial small subunit ribosomal RNA", at positions 339 to 796 of the family's 1533-position model. The record is from RNAcentral.